This 1387-nucleotide ribosomal RNA is filed under the name Escherichia coli. Its description in RNAcentral is "partial 23S ribosomal RNA". It matches the Rfam family "Bacterial large subunit ribosomal RNA", at positions 1291 to 2663 of the family's 2925-position model. Lineage: Bacteria; Pseudomonadati; Pseudomonadota; Gammaproteobacteria; Enterobacterales; Enterobacteriaceae. The record is from RNAcentral.
CGAAUGCUGACAUAAGUAACGAUAAAGCGGGUGAAAAGCCCGCUCGCCGGAAGACCAAGGGUUCCUGUCCAACGUUAAUCGGGGCAGGGUGAGUCGACCCCUAAGGCGAGGCCGAAAGGCGUAGUCGAUGGGAAACAGGUUAAUAUUCCUGUACUUGGUGUUACUGCGAAGGGGGGACGGAGAAGGCUAUGUUGGCCGGGCGACGGUUGUCCCGGUUUAAGCGUGUAGGCUGGUUUUCCAGGCAAAUCCGGAAAAUCAAGGCUGAGGCGUGAUGACGAGGCACUACGGUGCUGAAGCAACAAAUGCCCUGCUUCCAGGAAAAGCCUCUAAGCAUCAGGUAACAUCAAAUCGUACCCCAAACCGACACAGGUGGUCAGGUAGAGAAUACCAAGGCGCUUGAGAGAACUCGGGUGAAGGAACUAGGCAAAAUGGUGCCGUAACUUCGGGAGAAGGCACGCUGAUAUGUAGGUGAAGUCCCUCGCGGAUGGAGCUGAAAUCAGUCGAAGAUACCAGCUGGCUGCAACUGUUUAUUAAAAACACAGCACUGUGCAAACACGAAAGUGGACGUAUACGGUGUGACGCCUGCCCGGUGCCGGAAGGUUAAUUGAUGGGGUUAGCGCAAGCGAAGCUCUUGAUCGAAGCCCCGGUAAACGGCGGCCGUAACUAUAACGGUCCUAAGGUAGCGAAAUUCCUUGUCGGGUAAGUUCCGACCUGCACGAAUGGCGUAAUGAUGGCCAGGCUGUCUCCACCCGAGACUCAGUGAAAUUGAACUCGCUGUGAAGAUGCAGUGUACCCGCGGCAAGACGGAAAGACCCCGUGAACCUUUACUAUAGCUUGACACUGAACAUUGAGCCUUGAUGUGUAGGAUAGGUGGGAGGCUUUGAAGUGUGGACGCCAGUCUGCAUGGAGCCGACCUUGAAAUACCACCCUUUAAUGUUUGAUGUUCUAACGUUGACCCGUAAUCCGGGUUGCGGACAGUGUCUGGUGGGUAGUUUGACUGGGGCGGUCUCCUCCUAAAGAGUAACGGAGGAGCACGAAGGUUGGCUAAUCCUGGUCGGACAUCAGGAGGUUAGUGCAAUGGCAUAAGCCAGCUUGACUGCGAGCGUGACGGCGCGAGCAGGUGCGAAAGCAGGUCAUAGUGAUCCGGUGGUUCUGAAUGGAAGGGCCAUCGCUCAACGGAUAAAAGGUACUCCGGGGAUAACAGGCUGAUACCGCCCAAGAGUUCAUAUCGACGGCGGUGUUUGGCACCUCGAUGUCGGCUCAUCACAUCCUGGGGCUGAAGUAGGUCCCAAGGGUAUGGCUGUUCGCCAUUUAAAGUGGUACGCGAGCUGGGUUUAGAACGUCGUGAGACAGUUCGGUCCCUAUCUGCCGUGGGCGCUGGAGAAUU